This 2930-nucleotide ribosomal RNA is filed under the name Bacillus velezensis. Its description in RNAcentral is "23S ribosomal RNA". It matches the Rfam family "Bacterial large subunit ribosomal RNA". Lineage: Bacteria; Bacillati; Bacillota; Bacilli; Caryophanales; Bacillaceae. The record is from RNAcentral.
GGUUAAGUUAGAAAGGGCGCACGGUGGAUGCCUUGGCACUAGGAGCCGAUGAAGGACGGGACGAACACCGAUAUGCUUCGGGGAGCUGUAAGCAAGCUUUGAUCCGGAGAUUUCCGAAUGGGGAAACCCACCACUCGUAAUGGAGUGGUAUCCAUAUCUGAAUACAUAGGAUAUGAGAAGGCAGACCCGGGGAACUGAAACAUCUAAGUACCCGGAGGAAGAGAAAGCAAAUGCGAUUCCCUGAGUAGCGGCGAGCGAAACGGGACCAGCCCAAACCAAGAGGCUUGCCUCUUGGGGUUGUAGGACACUCUGUACGGAGUUACAAAGGAACGAGGUAGAUGAAGAGGUCUGGAAAGGCCCGCCAUAGGAGGUAACAGCCCUGUAGUCAAAACUUCGUUCUCUCCUGAGUGGAUCCUGAGUACGGCGGAACACGUGAAAUUCCGUCGGAAUCCGGGAGGACCAUCUCCCAAGGCUAAAUACUCCCUAGUGACCGAUAGUGAACCAGUACCGUGAGGGAAAGGUGAAAAGCACCCCGGAAGGGGAGUGAAAGAGAUCCUGAAACCGUGUGCCUACAAGUAGUCAGAGCCCGUUAACGGGUGAUGGCGUGCCUUUUGUAGAAUGAACCGGCGAGUUACGAUCCCGUGCAAGGUUAAGCAGAAGAUGCGGAGCCGCAGCGAAAGCGAGUCUGAAUAGGGCGAAUUGAGUACGUGGUCGUAGACCCGAAACCAGGUGAUCUACCCAUGUCCAGGGUGAAGUUCAGGUAACACUGAAUGGAGGCCCGAACCCACGCACGUUGAAAAGUGCGGGGAUGAGGUGUGGGUAGGGGUGAAAUGCCAAUCGAACCUGGAGAUAGCUGGUUCUCUCCGAAAUAGCUUUAGGGCUAGCCUCAAGGUAAGAGUCUCGGAGGUAGAGCACUGAUUGGACUAGGGGCCCCUACCGGGUUACCGAAUUCAGUCAAACUCCGAAUGCCGAUGACUUAUCCUUGGGAGUCAGACUGCGAGUGAUAAGAUCCGUAGUCGAAAGGGAAACAGCCCAGACCGCCAGCUAAGGUCCCAAAGUAUACGUUAAGUGGAAAAGGAUGUGGAGUUGCUUAGACAACCAGGAUGUUGGCUUAGAAGCAGCCACCAUUUAAAGAGUGCGUAAUAGCUCACUGGUCGAGUGACUCUGCGCCGAAAAUGUACCGGGGCUAAACGUAUCACCGAAGCUGCGGACUGUUCUUCGAACAGUGGUAGGAGAGCGUUCUAAGGGCUGUGAAGCAAGACCGGAAGGACUUGUGGAGCGCUUAGAAGUGAGAAUGCCGGUAUGAGUAGCGAAAGAGGGGUGAGAAUCCCCUCCACCGAAUGCCUAAGGUUUCCUGAGGAAGGCUCGUCCGCUCAGGGUUAGUCGGGACCUAAGCCGAGGCCGAAAGGCGUAGGCGAUGGAUAACAGGUUGAUAUUCCUGUACCACCUCCUCACCAUUUGAGCAAUGGGGGGACGCAGGAGGAUAGGGUAAGCGCGGUAUUGGAUAUCCGCGUCCAAGCAGUUAGGCUGGGAAAUAGGCAAAUCCGUUUCCCGUGAAGGCUGAGCUGUGAUGGCGAGCGAAUUAUAGUAGCGAAGUUCCUGAUUCCACACUGCCAAGAAAAGCCUCUAGCGAGGUGAGAGGUGCCCGUACCGCAAACCGACACAGGUAGGCGAGGAGAGAAUCCUAAGGUGAUCGAGAGAACUCUCGUUAAGGAACUCGGCAAAAUGACCCCGUAACUUCGGGAGAAGGGGUGCUCUGUUAGGGUGCAAGCCCGAGAGAGCCGCAGUGAAUAGGCCCAGGCGACUGUUUAGCAAAAACACAGGUCUCUGCGAAGCCGUAAGGCGAAGUAUAGGGGCUGACGCCUGCCCGGUGCUGGAAGGUUAAGAGGAGCGCUUAGCGUAAGCGAAGGUGCGAAUUGAAGCCCCAGUAAACGGCGGCCGUAACUAUAACGGUCCUAAGGUAGCGAAAUUCCUUGUCGGGUAAGUUCCGACCCGCACGAAAGGCGCAACGAUCUGGGCACUGUCUCAACGAGAGACUCGGUGAAAUUAUAGUACCUGUGAAGAUGCAGGUUACCCGCGACAGGACGGAAAGACCCCGUGGAGCUUUACUGCAGCCUGAUAUUGAAUGUUGGUACAGCUUGUACAGGAUAGGUAGGAGCCUUGGAAACCGGAGCGCCAGCUUCGGUGGAGGCAUCGGUGGGAUACUACCCUGGCUGUAUUGACCUUCUAACCCGCCGCCCUUAUCGGGCGGGGAGACAGUGUCAGGUGGGCAGUUUGACUGGGGCGGUCGCCUCCUAAAAGGUAACGGAGGCGCCCAAAGGUUCCCUCAGAAUGGUUGGAAAUCAUUCGCAGAGUGUAAAGGCACAAGGGAGCUUGACUGCAAGACCUACAAGUCGAGCAGGGACGAAAGUCGGGCUUAGUGAUCCGGUGGUUCCGCAUGGAAGGGCCAUCGCUCAACGGAUAAAAGCUACCCCGGGGAUAACAGGCUUAUCUCCCCCAAGAGUCCACAUCGACGGGGAGGUUUGGCACCUCGAUGUCGGCUCAUCGCAUCCUGGGGCUGUAGUCGGUCCCAAGGGUUGGGCUGUUCGCCCAUUAAAGCGGUACGCGAGCUGGGUUCAGAACGUCGUGAGACAGUUCGGUCCCUAUCCGUCGCGGGCGCAGGAAAUUUGAGAGGAGCUGUCCUUAGUACGAGAGGACCGGGAUGGACGCACCGCUGGUGUACCAGUUGUUCUGCCAAGGGCAUCGCUGGGUAGCUAUGUGCGGACGGGAUAAGUGCUGAAAGCAUCUAAGCAUGAAGCCCCCCUCAAGAUGAGAUUUCCCAUUCCGCAAGGAAGUAAGAUCCCUGAAAGAUGAUCAGGUUGAUAGGUCUGAGGUGGAAGUGUGGCGACACAUGGAGCUGACAGAUACUAAUCGAUCGAGGACUUAACCAA